UCCAGCUAUUCUCCACAUCUCAGGAGCAAGAAACCCUAGGGUUUCUUGCCGCCAGGUCCCAAAAAGGCAGGAGAAGCAAGGGGAGGCGCUAGCCCCCUCCCCCUUUGUGCUGCAAUCCCUUUGUCUCUCCCUCUCUUGCAGCCAUCUAAACAUCAGGUCCAAGACCUGGAAUCUCUUGAGAAGAAGUUGGUACAAGUUCCUCUCAGAUCUGGAGUUGAUCUGAGGUCAUUUGAGGCAUGGGUG
RNAcentral lists this long non-coding RNA (243 nucleotides) under Elaeis guineensis (African oil palm). Its description in RNAcentral is "long non-coding RNA (EGUI_LNC043752)". Lineage: Eukaryota; Viridiplantae; Streptophyta; Magnoliopsida; Arecales; Arecaceae. The record is from RNAcentral.